RNAcentral lists this ribosomal RNA (253 nucleotides) under uncultured bacterium. Its description in RNAcentral is "partial 16S ribosomal RNA". It matches the Rfam family "Bacterial small subunit ribosomal RNA", at positions 524 to 776 of the family's 1533-position model. The record is from RNAcentral. RNAcentral also lists the same sequence under 1 other name.
UACGAGGGGUCCAAGCGUUGUUCGGAAUCACUGGGCGUAAAGCGGGUGUAGGUGGCUAGGCAAGUUGGAUGUGAAAGCCCCGGGCUCAACCCGGGAAGUGCAUCCAAAACUACUUAGCUUGAGUAAGGAAGAGGAUAGGAGAAUUCUUGGUGUAGUGGUGAAAUACGUAGAUAUCAAGAGGAACACCGGUGGCGAAGGCGCCUAUCUGGUCCAUUACUGACACUCAGACCCGAAAGCGUGGGUAGCAAACAGG